This 472-nucleotide ribosomal RNA is filed under the name uncultured bacterium. RNAcentral's name for it is "bacterial SSU rRNA". It matches the Rfam family "Bacterial small subunit ribosomal RNA", at positions 328 to 793 of the family's 1533-position model. The record is from RNAcentral.
CUCUGUGACUCCUACGGGAGGCAGCAGUGGGGAAUAUUGCACAAUGGGCGCAAGCCUGAUGCUGCCAUGCCGCGUGUGUGAAGAAGGCCUUCGGGUUGUAAAGCACUUUCAGUUGUGAGGAAGGUGGUGUCGUUAAUAGCGGCAUCAUUUGACGUUAGCAACAGAAGAAGCACCGGCUAACUCCGUGCCAGCAGCCGCGGUAAUACGGAGGGUGCGAGGGUUAAUCGGAAUUACUGGGCGUAAAGCGCAUGCAGGUGGUUUGUUAAGUCAGAUGUGAAAGCCCGGGGCUUAACCUCGGAAUUGCAUUUGAAACUGGCAGGCUAGAGUCUUGUAGAGGGGGUAGAAUUUCAGGUGUAGCGGUGAAAUGCGUAGAGAUCUGAAGGAAUACCAGUGGCGAAGGCGGCCCCCUGGACAAAGACUGACGCUCAGAUGCGAAAGCGUGGGGAGCAAACAGGAUUAGAUACCCUGGUAG